Molecule: ribosomal RNA, 253 nt
Filed under: uncultured bacterium
Lineage: Bacteria
Description: partial 16S ribosomal RNA
Rfam family: Bacterial small subunit ribosomal RNA
Source: RNAcentral
UACGUAGGGAGCAAGCGUUGUCCGGAUUCACUGGGCGUAAAGAGCACGUAGGCGGUUAAUUAAGUCAGGUGUGAAAGUUUUCGGCUCAACCGGAAAAGUGCACUUGAAACUGGAUAACUUGAGUAUCGGAGAGGUAAGCGGAAUUCCUAGUGUAGCGGUGAAAUGCGUAGAGAUUAGGAAGAACACCGGUGGCGAAGGCGGCUUACUGGACGAUAACUGACGCUGAGGUGCGAAAGCGUGGGGAGCGAACAGG